CGUUAGCGGCGGACGGGUGAGUAACACGUGGGCAACCUGCCCCUUAGACUGGGAUAACUCCGGGAAACCGGAGCUAAUACCGGAUAAUCCCUUUCUCCACCUGGAGAGAGGGUGAAAGAUGGCUUCGGCUAUCACUAGGGGAUGGGCCCGCGGCGCAUUAGCUAGUUGGUAAGGUAACGGCUUACCAAGGCGACGAUGCGUAGCCGACCUGAGAGGGUGAUCGGCCACACUGGGACUGAGACACGGCCCAGACUCCUACGGGAGGCAGCAGUAGGGAAUCUUCCGCAAUGGACGAAAGUCUGACGGAGCAACGCCGCGUGAGUGAGGAAGGCCUUCGGGUCGUAAAGCUCUGUUGUGAGGGAAGAAGCGGUACCGUUCGAAUAGGGCGGUACCUUGACGGUACCUCACCAGAAAGCCACGGCUAACUACGUGCCAGCAGCCGCGGUAAUACGUAGGUGGCAAGCGUUGUCCGGAAUUAUUGGGCGUAAAGCGCGCGCAGGCGGCUUCUUAAGUCUGAUGUGAAAUCUCGGGGCUCAACCCCGAGCGGCCAUUGGAAACUGGGGAGCUUGAGUGCAGAAGAGGAGAGUGGAAUUCCACGUGUAGCGGUGAAAUGCGUAGAGAUGUGGAGGAACACCAGUGGCGAAGGCGACUCUCUGGUCUGUAACUGACGCUGAGGCGCGAAAGCGUGGGGAGCAAACAGGAUUAGAUACCCUGGUAGUCCACGCCGUAAACGAUGAGUGCUAGGUGUUAGGGGUUUCGAUGCCCGUAGUGCCGAAGUUAA
Molecule: ribosomal RNA, 781 nt
Filed under: Shouchella clausii
Lineage: Bacteria; Bacillati; Bacillota; Bacilli; Caryophanales; Bacillaceae
Description: bacterial SSU rRNA
Rfam family: Bacterial small subunit ribosomal RNA
Source: RNAcentral